UGCGAACUCCUACGGGAGGCAGCAGUGAGGAAUAUUGGUCAAUGGGCGGAAGCCUGAACCAGCCAAGUAGCGUGCAGGAUGACGGCCCUACGGGUUGUAAACUGCUUUUAUGCGGGGAUAAAGUGAGGGACGCGUCCCUUUUUGCAGGUACCGCAUGAAUAAGGACCGGCUAAUUCCGUGCCAGCAGCCGCGGUAAUACGGAAGGUCCGGGCGUUAUCCGGAUUUAUUGGGUUUAAAGGGAGCGUAGGCCGGGGAUUAAGUGUGUUGUGAAAUGUAGGCGCCCAACGUCUGACUUGCAGCGCAUACUGGUUCCCUUGAGUACGCGCAACGCCGGCGGAAUUCGUCGUGUAGCGGUGAAAUGCUUAGAUAUGACGAAGAACCCCGAUUGCGAAGGCAGCCGGCGGGAGCGCAACUGACGCUGAAGCUCGAAGGUGCGGGUAUCGAACAGGAUUAGAUACCCUUGUAGUCCU
This 470-nucleotide ribosomal RNA is filed under the name uncultured bacterium. RNAcentral describes it as "bacterial SSU rRNA". It matches the Rfam family "Bacterial small subunit ribosomal RNA", at positions 330 to 797 of the family's 1533-position model. The record is from RNAcentral.